CUCUCUGGGUAUCCUUGUAUUGUCCUGUUCUGGAUGAAAACUUUGUUGUUUUCUCUCUCAUUUUUUUUUUAAUUUUUUUUUUUAUUUUUUUUAUUUUUCAUGUAUGCUAACUGGAGAGAAUGACUCUUGGAGAACAAUUUGGUGGCAGGAAAAGAUAGGAGAUAUGGGCGGAUACUCUUUAGACUGAGAUUUGUCAAAGCUGAUCUCUGUAGAGGCAGCAGACACAGGCGGAUGGGCCCAUUGGGAUCAUUUUGCUGAAGACCAUGAAUGGAGAUGAUGGUGCCAAGGAUACCACCACAGACAAUGUCGAUGCCAUAGGAACUGACCUCGCUGAAUUGACUGGGCUAAAGGAGACUGGCAUUCCUCUGGGGCAGCUAAUGUGGGCAAACGUGCUGAUGGAGUACUGCUUAACGUCUACCAGAAGUAACGAGGCACCUGGGAUUUUUGUUGCCUCAAACAUAGUCUUCUCCAGGUGCCUAUACUGGAUGGUGAAAAGAAGAAUGAAGAUGAGACAGCCGGUGCUGUCAGCUUUUCUUCCACCUGAUUCAGACUUUGGCCAUGCCCCGCAUCCGCUCCAGAAAGCCAAGGCUUCAGAUGAAGGAUGGAAGGAGGAAAGCAGGAGGCUGGGAAAUGAUUUUGGUCAUGUCCACACUGGCAGGUGCAGAGAUAUUUGAGCUCACUCUUCCACAUUAACCCUGGAACUUCUAGUGUGGGGACAGUUGGGUGAUAGUGGGUAGCAGAGACACCUGGGCUGGCUGGAUGCAUUCUGUUGGGAGAAAGAGAGUGUCCAGAUGCAACUUAGUUAUUUUUGUCUGGCCCUGGGCCCAAACUAAUAAGCUCAGAGAGAGGACACAUUAGCUCCCAUGAAAUGUCCAGGUUGCUGAGAUAUAUUGCAUCUGGACCACAUCCCGUUAAAGAGGCGGGUGUUAUGCUGUGUCCAGGGGUCUCUGUUAAUGUGCCUAUCUCCAUCAUCCAGUUCUUCAUACUCAGCAGAUGUGUCUUAAAAGUCGCUUGUAUCUGAAAGUCGUGCCUUCGCAGUUCUUUGGCGUGAAAGUCAGCUUACAGGUAUGUGUCUUUUAUAGCCCAGUAGAUCUUCCUAGGAGAUAACGCGAGCUGUUCCUUAAGCAUCUGUUAAUAAUUUAUAGGGGGCAUGGGAAAUAACAACGGUCAAAAGGCAACCAAAAAGCUUAGCAUGGAUAACUUCAACCAGAGGGCCAUUUGCUGCUGAUCUCCUGUGACCAAUAACAAAUUUCCUUAGUGUUUCUAUAAAUAAUACUGUUGUCUUCUCAAAACAGGAAGUCCUAUAUCCAGCACAAGGUAACUUGAUAAUGGACUGAAGACUGCUGAAUGGAAAAGUGUUAGUUACAGGCCCCCUAAAAAAGAAGUUGCUGAGGUACCAGAGAUCACAGUCGAUUUGAGUUUACUUUCUGCACGUAACUAUAGGGCACUGACCAAAAAUCUGCAUGUUUGGAACUUUAAUAGGGCCAGUUUUCCAAAGCUUAACGCCCUUGUUGGCAUAAUGACUGAGCAUAUUUUAAGAAGCAAGAUGUUGAAAUAAAUCAGGAAUUGUUCAAGAAUAUCA
Molecule: long non-coding RNA, 1582 nt
Organism: Chrysolophus pictus (golden pheasant)
Lineage: Eukaryota; Metazoa; Chordata; Aves; Galliformes; Phasianidae
Source: Ensembl